RNAcentral lists this non-coding RNA (27 nucleotides) under Homo sapiens (human). The record is from RNAcentral. Lineage: Eukaryota; Metazoa; Chordata; Mammalia; Primates; Hominidae.
UGGAGAGCUGCCACAACCAGAACAUUC